This 70-nucleotide transfer RNA is filed under the name Dipodomys ordii (Ord's kangaroo rat). It matches the Rfam family "tRNA". From Rfam's summary of the family: Transfer RNA (tRNA) molecules are approximately 80 nucleotides in length. Their secondary structure includes four short double-helical elements and three loops (D, anti-codon, and T loops). Lineage: Eukaryota; Metazoa; Chordata; Mammalia; Rodentia; Heteromyidae. The record is from Rfam by way of RNAcentral.
GGGAAUGUGGCUUAGUGGUAGAGUGCUUGCCUAGCAUGCAUGAAGCCCUAGGUUUGAUUCCUUAGUACCA